RNAcentral lists this ribosomal RNA (305 nucleotides) under uncultured bacterium. RNAcentral describes it as "bacterial SSU rRNA". It matches the Rfam family "Bacterial small subunit ribosomal RNA", at positions 28 to 334 of the family's 1533-position model. The record is from RNAcentral.
GACGAACGCUGGCGGCGUGCUUAACACAUGCAAGUCGAGCGGUAAGGCCCUUUCGGGAGUACACGAGCGGCGAACGGGUGAGUAACGCGUGAGUAACCUGCCCCCCUCUCUGGGAUAACAGUUGGAAACGGCUGCUAAUACCGGAUAUUCAGACCUUUAGGCAUCUUUUGGUUUGGAAAGUUCUGGCGGUGGGGGAUGGACUCGCGUCCUAUCAGCUUGUUGGUGGGGUAGUGGCCUACCAAGGCGACGACGGGUAGCCGGCCUGAGAGGGCGACCGGCCACAUUGGGACUGAGAUACGGCCCAA